CUGUCAUCUGAAUCCCUGAUCUUUCAACGUUUUAACUUAUAUUCGAUUAUCCAUCUUUAUUGUUUCAGAUUAAUCUGAACCAGAGCAUGUCAUUUCCGUCAAUCCGUCAUCAUCGUCCAGAAGAUGAUGUGAAAUGGAGGAUCAUUACCAUUUAAGGACACGUUGAGUUGAAUCAGAUGUAAAUUUAAUUGGUGAGGGUCUGAAUGAGUGGCAGCGGCGCGAAGGAAGACAGGAUGGCUGGAUCGAAAUGCAACGGGACCAGCGAAAUGAGUUUCUGCAGCCCCAUUCCAUUGAGAGAAGAUCCUCAAUCAGGUUGAACAAUAAUGUGUACGGAACUUUGGACACUCAUUUUCAUUUUGCCAUUCAGAACCUCUUCUCCUCUGCCGCUCAGCUAACCCCACCAUCUGAUUACGUCGUCAAGGUCUUCCUUCUGAUGAGAUCGACGAUCAAUUUCGUUCUUAGUUAAGUGGUUUUUUGUGCACUAGCUUGCUUGGCUUCUUCCCACAUCUAUGUGUUUCAAUCUCUAUCUCUGUAAAUAGUGUUGCUUUUAUUUUUUAACUGUGCAAGUUGGGUACUGAGUGAUAUCUUUGAAAAGUUUUAAAUUUACAUUUCUCUCAUUACUUUGUGCUUAUAGUUUUCCUUUUUCAUUUCUCUCAUGGUAUAUAACUAAAAGCCAUUUUGUCAUUUGGAACUCAAGGAUGAUUAUGACAUUGGAGAAUGGCCAUCAUUGGCAAAAGAAUGUGCUAUAUAUUGGAUUAGUUUAUAUUUUCCUUUUUGGCUAGGGUAAAAUUAAAAGGGAUUUGUUGAAUAUCGAGCUAAGCUACAGGUUGAGUUUCAAAAGAAAGUUUCAGAUAUAACACUAUUAUUCUAUUUGUUAAAUGCAGCUGCUAAACUAUCCUUUUAUCUGAUUCUGACAUGAUGCAUUCACUCAUUUCCUUCAUGCUUUACCAUGAAUACGGAGUAACAGAUUUUGGAGCUUAUAAUGUCAAGCGACUUGAGCAAGAGAUUGAAGCAAAAAUCCAGUGCUUGAAAACAGAAGCUGCAAUAAUAUCGAAUGAUGUGUUAGAGGACAAAUGUGUUGUCCUUGAAAGCAAAGUAUGAUGAUAUUGACAUUGGAUGUUAUGUUUGGCGUUCGCAAACUCAAACUGUCAAUUUUAAAAAAGCUUUUUCCUAAAAGCUAUUAAAAUAAUAUUGCUAUUAUUUCUUCCUUGGCUUUUGUGUGAGUUGGAGUAUACUUGAAUAUAUAGGUCCAUCAUUCUUGGUUAAGAAAUUAAAUCAAUUUUGAUCUUGAGAUUGUCAACUGAAGAAGAAAGAAGCUUAAUGGAAGAAGAGAGCAGGUGCCCUUGAAAGAAAGGUAUCGUCAUAUUGACAUGCAUGUUUGUUUGGCGUUUCCAAAGCCCCAAAUCAUGGUUUGAAAAAAGUGUGUUUCCCAUAGCUUUUAUAUUUAUCGCAGCAUUUCUUCUUGCCUUUGUGACGGUUGGAUUAUCCUUGAAUAGACUAUGUUAUAUUUCCUUCAUUCUUGGUUAAGAAAAUAUAUGCCAAUUAUGUUCUCAGGUGUUGAUUGUCGCAAGAGAGAAGCUGAAUGGAAGAAGAGAGAAUCUGCAUUGCAUCUUGAAGUUAAGAACCUCACAGAGGUAUCCUUUAUGAAUGGGUUCUGCCCAGGUUAGAGCUGGCUGAGAGAAGAACGGAGCACAGUGCAGGUUGUGCCAAGAAGAAGUCAAUGGAAGAGUCAUUCACAAGAGGAUCAUGAAGCUCACUCCUGGAAACAUCAAAUACAGUACCAAGUCAAGAGUCUAGAGAAUGUGCAACUGCAUGUGUUUAGUGAAGGGCCUCAAACAGUCCUCUUUGUGACAGGAGAAUGUGAAAUCAAGCUAGCAUUAAUUUUAAAGUGAUCCAUGUUUAUUUAUCAUUAAAAAGUGAUAUGACAUUGGUGAAUGUCAUAUGUUACAUUAUCA
Molecule: long non-coding RNA, 1955 nt
Organism: Lotus japonicus
Lineage: Eukaryota; Viridiplantae; Streptophyta; Magnoliopsida; Fabales; Fabaceae
Exons: 4
Source: RefSeq, a predicted model, not a curated record